Molecule: long non-coding RNA, 3085 nt
Organism: Heterocephalus glaber (naked mole-rat)
Lineage: Eukaryota; Metazoa; Chordata; Mammalia; Rodentia; Bathyergidae
Source: Ensembl
GCGAGAAGUCCGCACGGGGGUUUGAGAACGGUUCUGUGCAUGUGUCCUGGGAUUUUGUAAUUACAGCAACAGGCUAUGCCUGUUUCCCCACCCAGCUUUACCGUGUCCUGGUCUCUUGCCUCAGUUUCUCAUAUGGAGUGAAAAAGCAAGUCCCAAGCCCCUGGCCAGCCAGUCCGGUUGCAUCUGUAAUCUCCACCAUGGCCUGACGAUUCGCCAGCACCUGCUUUCCCUGAGGCACAGAUAGCACAGAAAUAUUUCCUCCUCCUCUGUGUUAACUUGAGCAUCGCAGUUCACUACCAAGGAAUCUCAAGGUCUGGCUCGAACUGCUGGAGAGCAGAGGCCCUCCUGGAGUUGAGCAUAGGAAACUGCUUUUAGCCGCAAGGAGGUCGCACGUGUUUCUGUUCCUCAGAGGUGCUGUACAGCCGUAUCAGCAAGCUCCUGCAGCCCCACCCUAGGGAAGUUUCUGGGCUUGUCCCUCAGGAGAUUUCUUGGGUGGCUCCUGCGUGCGUGCCUGGGGGUCACCCUGGUGGGUAUAGAAGGGCAGAUGGCUCCCCAGUGGCGUGGUCAGGCUGGAUGGAGGAAUCGCUGGCCAGCUCAGGUCCUCGUGGAGGACUGACAUCCGGGUGCAGCAGUACAGUGGUGGGUGACUGCCGGCGGGCUUUCUGCUCCGUUGGUCCCUCCAAGUCAGCACUGCAAGGAAAGGAAAAGCUCUGCUUCAGAGAACUGAUUUUCCUUGGAUUUGUUGGAAGGAUACAGACUGGGAAGGGACAGGGCUGGGGAGAGUGCAUUUCAGAGGCACCAGUGAGGGACAGAAGUCAGGGCAGGGACCGGUGCAGGGAUGAGCGUGAGGCGAUGACCAAAGACUCCACGCUCUCAUUUUCAGUUAGCACAUGGAGAGCAUGUGGACUUGUUCUUGGGGGUGUUUUUCCCAGUUCAGGUCAAUAACUGUAGACUCAGAAUGUGCUGCGGGCCCCGCAUGGUGCUAAACAUCAGGUACACGAAGGUGCCUGUCAGUGUUCUGGCCUGGCAAAGGGCUUCGAGUUCUAGUGGGCCUGAGCCUCACACGGGGUCCCUGCAGCUGCUGACUGCUGCGUGAUGUAAGCAUGUUUUGCAGAUGCAGCCAGGCUCGGGAGAAGGAGUCUCAGAAAUGUCGUGUGGUGUCCAUGGUCGCUGUCCCAGGAGGAGCAGCGUGCGUCCUUCUACCCGGGACCUGGGCCUCUGCUUCCCAGCUGAGUCUAUGAAGUCAGUGUUGUUAUCCUGACAACAAAACCAGACAGAGACACCACAAGAAAAGAAGAUUUCAGCCUAACAUUCCACAUGAAUAUAGAAACAAAAAUCCUCAGAAUACCAGCAAACCAAUCCACGCAUAGUGAAAGGAUUAUGUGAUCAGAAGUAUCAAGGCAAGUCAAAGGAGAAAGGAAUAUGCAAUAAAUGACACUGAAGCAACUGGAUAUCAACAUGCAAAAAGAUACAUUGAAACGUUUUACAUCAUGGACAAAAAUUAACUCUAAGAUGGAUCACAGACUUAAAUGUAAGAGAGUUUGAAAAGAUUGCUAGGAAUAAAACAAGACAGAAUGAAAAGUUACCUGGGGCUCUGAAGCUGUCAACCAGGAGAUGAACACACCCACCCCCCACAGCUGGCCUUUGAGAUGAGCAGCGGAUCACCAUGCUGCGAUCAAGCCUGGCUGUGCCUCCCGCUGCUAACAGGAGCCCCCAGGCUGCCCCACUGGCGCUGCUGCAGGGCACCUGCAGGGAUGCGAACGCUGCGUGUCCACACACAGCCCCGUGCAUGUGUGCACACAGACAUACUUGUGUGAUUCUACACUCACGUGCAUGCACACACAGGCACACAGCUUCGCUCACAGCCUCACACUGUGUGUACACACAUGCACACAAAAAGCCUUAGGAACACACACACAUGCACACACAUGCACAUCUGUACACACUCACGCACAGUCCUAUGCACACUCAUGCACACACAUCCUGUGCCCACUGAACACAAUAAGGUCGGAGGGGCACUCUUGGAAUAGAGCCUCUUUUGAGAAUGGAUUAGGCUUCCUGAUGGUAACUGGAAGAAACGUAGAGAGAGACCCUGACAUCUCCCAGAAUUCCCACAUUCCCAUCUCCCAGCAUUCCCAUUCCCUCAGACCUCCUCCCUCUUACCUGGCUGCCUUCACCAUGGGAGAGAUCAGCAGAUGCAAUGGAAAGUCCAGGGAGGGGAGCAAUGCAAGAGCAGUACAGAACUUGAAAGAUAAAGAGGAUAGAACAAAGCAAAAGCUCUCUUUGUAUAGAUAUCUUUAUAUCCAAAGAAACAAACAGUAGGGAAUCAAGGAGUAAGUAGGAUCGGAAUAUAUGGUAGUGAUGAGAAAUACAAAGCCAUAAGCAUGUUAACCCUCCUUUGCUUUGCUGUUUCAAUGACUGGGAAUUUGUUUUAGGAAAAUAACACCAAACCAUGAAAACUCUGCAUGCUUCAUGACUAAGAAGACCGCAUUAGCAAUCAAUUAAAAUGGCAACACUAGAAGAACCAUAAAGUGAAUCUACUGCAGUGAGUCACAGCGGCAAUUUAAAGACCAAGUUGCCGUUAACUAAGAUGCAGAUGACGCAGUCAUGGAAAGUUGCAUAUGUGCUGUCUGCCCACAUGUAACACGUGUGUCUGCCCUGGGAUAACGGAAAGACUAGCAGUAGGGCCCUCCAAAGUGAGUGGCCGCUGCAGAAGCUGCUCAGCCCCGGAUCCUGGAUGUCCAGAGUUGCAUCAACAAGCUGUCUCGGGCUGGCUGCUCGUGGCGAUUUCCCUCGUCCUGCUGGAGAGCAGCAGAUGGUUUCCCAUACUGUGUUAUAUUUAUUAACAUUCAGCCCAGACUUAAUUGACAAUACUAAACAUUGGUUCUUUAAACAUUCAGCUUCAUUAUUUGCAAUGGUAAUUUCAGUAAACAGUAGCUAUUCCAAAGCUCUGUAGUGUGAAAUUAAAUUUGUUGGUUAAUUAAUUGGAAGAAUGUAGCAACUUCAGACUGCUUAGAGAUGGUGGCCUUGGUGUGGCAUUGAAAUCAGUGAUCUGUAAAAUUACUCACAGUAUAGCAAAGUCAAG